GUGGGGAAUUUUGGACAAUGGGCGCAAGCCUGAUCCAGCAAUGCCGCGUGCAGGAAGAAGGCCUUCGGGUUGUAAACUGCUUUUGUACGGAACGAAAAGGCUCUGGCUAAUACCUGGAGCUCAUGACGGUACCGUAAGAAUAAGCACCGGCUAACUACGUGCCAGCAGCCGCGGUAAUACGUAGGGUGCGAGCGUUAAUCGGAAUUACUGGGCGUAAAGCGUGCGCAGGCGGUGCUGUAAGACAGGCGUGAAAUCCCCGGGCUCAACCUGGGAAUUGCGCUUGUGACUGCAGCGCUGGAGUGCGGCAGAGGGGGAUGGAAUUCCGCGUGUAGCAGUGAAAUGCGUAGAUAUGCGGAGGAACACCGAUGGCGAAGGCAAUCCCCUGGGCCUGCACUGACGCUCAUGCACGAAAGCGUGGGGAGCAAACAGGAUUAGAUACCCCGGUAGUCC
Molecule: ribosomal RNA, 450 nt
Filed under: uncultured bacterium
Lineage: Bacteria
Description: partial 16S ribosomal RNA
Rfam family: Bacterial small subunit ribosomal RNA
Source: RNAcentral